GGGCCCGCACAAGCGGCGGAGCAUGCGGAUUAAUUCGAUGCAACGCGAAGAACCUUACCAAGGCUUGACAUGUUCCCGACCGCCACAGAGAUGUGGUUUCCCCUUUGGGGCGGGUUCACAGGUGGUGCAUGGUUGUCGUCAGCUCGUGUCGUGAGAUGUUGGGUUAAGUCCCGCAACGAGCGCAACCCUCGUUCCAUGUUGCCAGCGGGUUAUGCCGGGGACUCAUGGGAGACUGCCGGGGUCAACUCGGAGGAAGGUGGGGACGACGUCAAAUCAUCAUGCCCCUUAUGUCUUGGGCUUCACGCAUGCUACAAUGGCCGGUACAAUGGGUUGCGAUACUGUGAGGUGGAGCUAAUCCCAAAAAGCCGGUCUCAGUUCGGAUUGGGGUCUGCAACUCGACCCCAUGAAGUCGGAGUCGCUAGUAAUCGCAGAUCAGCAACGCUGCGGUGAAUACGUUCCCGGGCCUU
This 467-nucleotide ribosomal RNA is filed under the name uncultured bacterium. RNAcentral's name for it is "bacterial SSU rRNA". It matches the Rfam family "Bacterial small subunit ribosomal RNA", at positions 917 to 1382 of the family's 1533-position model. The record is from RNAcentral.